RNAcentral lists this small RNA (910 nucleotides) under Caenorhabditis elegans. Its description in RNAcentral is "Unclassified non-coding RNA K02F3.16". Lineage: Eukaryota; Metazoa; Nematoda; Chromadorea; Rhabditida; Rhabditidae. The record is from RNAcentral.
GAAAAGUUUUCCCCACCUAGCUAGAAGCUAGCUCGUUUGUCACUAGAUUUCGACGGCCUUCCCGAAGAUUUCUUUUCUCCACAAUGUAUCACGCAAAGACAACCACCGAUUUUAACAUGUUCAGUCAACAGUGUUGCUUCAUGGACGAGGCCAAGUAUGGAGCCGGUUAGUUUUUCAUAAUUGGACGAAUAUUUUAUUUUUACAAAUAAUUGUUCAGCUAUCGGCUCCACUAGCCGUCGGGUUUUCGGCUUGGCCUCCGUCGCCGCCACUUCCGCCGUUGGCCCACUCACCGCUCCAGGAUGCAGUCCACGCCGACCACAACCAUCGUCGGAUCCUCAACUCUUGCAGAAACCUGCCGGAUUGCCUGACGACUACAGUUCCUCAGCUUCACCAGAUCAAUUCUGCCGAGCAAUCUCCACUACAGUUCACGCAUCAACCAAAUUGCGAUUUAAUUGUGGUUCUCGACGAGCAAACGACCUACACGACUACAAUGACACGACGUUCCCUACCGAAAGCGGACCGUUAUUUGAGCGGUUAGUUGGCGAAUUUGAGCGAAUUUGAAUCAUAAUUUGAAUAAUAAAAUUUUCAGAGCCCAACAUGAGCACGCCACAAGCUUCCCACGGGAGCUUUGAAUUUGAUGUACCAGAGUACACAUCCUUCGACUAUGCAUUCGAUUUCCCACCGGUUCCAGAAGCCUUCCCACCAGCCGCCAAUAGUUCCUCGGCUGCAUCUCCAGAUGCAGAUUUUCUUGAUCUGGAUUCUCUCAUGAGCUGUGAUAUCACAUCUCUUGACGCCUACAUUCAUGAUGAUUCCAUUGCCUCUCCUUCUAACGCUUCACACAUUUCUCCUCCAGCGUCGGACAUUGAUCCAGUUGACGAGUUCUUUCCACAGCUUGUGCACAAUAAUAAAA